CUGAAACUCCUUGAUCACACACAGAAACGCAGGGCACAACUUCCUUUUUCCAUCCGCUCAAGCUCUUAAUUCUCCUCUGCCAAUGACGCAUCUCAACUGCAACAGAAGACUCACACCCCCAAGCUCUUGGACGCACCUUGCAAGAACUCAUGUGCACACCUUGACGAAGGCUCGCAACUUCGCCAUCACUACCUUGCACCCUCCACCGAUGAUCUUGAUGAACUACUCGGUGUCAACUCAACACCUCCAUAAUCA
Molecule: long non-coding RNA, 255 nt
Filed under: Hordeum vulgare
Lineage: Eukaryota; Viridiplantae; Streptophyta; Magnoliopsida; Poales; Poaceae
Description: long non-coding RNA (HVUL_LNC017031)
Source: RNAcentral